RNAcentral lists this ribosomal RNA (924 nucleotides) under Halomonas caseinilytica. RNAcentral describes it as "bacterial SSU rRNA". It matches the Rfam family "Bacterial small subunit ribosomal RNA", at positions 48 to 963 of the family's 1533-position model. Lineage: Bacteria; Pseudomonadati; Pseudomonadota; Gammaproteobacteria; Oceanospirillales; Halomonadaceae. The record is from RNAcentral.
CUAACACAUGCAAGUCGAGCGGAAACGAUCCUAGCUUGCUAGGAGGCGUCGAGCGGCGGACGGGUGAGUAAUGCAUAGGAAUCUGCCCGGUAGUGGGGGAUAACCUGAGGAAACUCAGGCUAAUACCGCAUACGUCCUACGGGAGAAAGCAGGGGCUCUUCGGACCUUGCGCUAUCGGAUGAGCUUAUGUCGGAUUAGCUGGUUGGUGAGGUAACGGCUCACCAAGGCGACGAUCCGUAGCUGGUCUGAGAGGAUGAUCAGCCACAUCGGGACUGAGACACGGCCCGAACUCCUACGGGAGGCAGCAGUGGGGAAUAUUGGACAAUGGGGGCAACCCUGAUCCAGCCAUGCCGCGUGUGUGAAGAAGGCCCUCGGGUUGUAAAGCACUUUCAGUGAGGAAGAAGGCUUGUCGGUUAAUACCCGGCAAGAAAGACAUCACUCACAGAAGAAGCACCGGCUAACUCCGUGCCAGCAGCCGCGGUAAUACGGAGGGUGCGAGCGUUAAUCGGAAUUACUGGGCGUAAAGCGUGCGUAGGCGGCUUGAUAAGCCGGUUGUGAAAGCCCCGGGCUCAACCUGGGAACGGCAUCCGGAACUGUCAGGCUAGAGUGCAGGAGAGGAAGGUAGAAUUCCCGGUGUAGCGGUGAAAUGCGUAGAGAUCGGGAGGAAUACCAGUGGCGAAGGCGGCCUUCUGGACUGACACUGACGCUGAGGUACGAAAGCGUGGGUAGCAAACAGGAUUAGAUACCCUGGUAGUCCACGCCGUAAACGAUGUCGACUAGCCGUUGGGGUCCUCGAGACCUUUGUGGCGCAGUUAACGCACUAAGUCGACCGCCUGGGGAGUACGGCCGCAAGGUUAAAACUCAAAUGAAUUGACGGGGGCCCGCACAAGCGGUGGAGCAUGUGGUUUAAUUCGAUGCAACGCG